Molecule: long non-coding RNA, 721 nt
Organism: Nycticebus coucang (slow loris)
Lineage: Eukaryota; Metazoa; Chordata; Mammalia; Primates; Lorisidae
Exons: 4
Source: RefSeq, a predicted model, not a curated record
GAAACUGGGGACUUGCUUGGUGUGGUGGGGAUAAGUGGCUCUGUCUUGUUUUCAGCUGGUCUCUGUCUGACCCUAGUGAAUCAGUUACUCUGGGUUGAAGUCUCAGCUGUGGAGAAAUACCAGCAAGUCUGGGAAUCACAAUUUGCUUUGGGAUCUCAAGAGAAGAGGAAUUUACCCAAGGCAUAUAGGGGAUCAAGUCUAGGUCAAGGUUCCAAACCAAGUCCCUCUCAAACCAAGGUAGAAGGGACCCUACACUGUCAUCCUGACCACACCCACUGCAGAUAGAAGGAAUCCUUGCCUGGAUCGAUCACAGCAGGCUGAAGAAAGUGUUACUGCUUUAGGAAGCAAAAACGGACCCAGCCAACCCCUGCAAGCCCACAGGUUCUGUAAAAGCUGGAGCCAGCUUCUCCAGUUUGAUUUAAACUGACCAGUGAGAAAGUUAGCCAUGGGCUGGAACUUUUUGACUGGAGAUUAAAAGGAGAAGACUGAGCCAGUUGGGGAGUGCGACCAUUUUGAAUUCUUCUGUGCUAUAGCUCCGCCAGCUGAAAUAAAACUCUUCCUCUUUUAAACACAGUGUCUGGGUGUUAGUUCUCUCUAUUAGGCCUCGUCUUCCUGCAACAGCACCAGCUUGUUAUGGUCUAAGAGGUGCUGCAUGAGCUAAGUGUUGAUGAACAACUGGAAAUAAGCACCUAGAGGAAGGUUGAAAAGGGUGCUAUAGGCA